UAGUACACUGGGCAACGAUUGGCCCAUUUGUAGAUGAUUUAACUUGUAGCUAUAUAGUUAAUUAUUAAAUUACGGCUAGGUACCGCAAGUUGACCAAUUAGCUAAAAUUCACUGCGUAAAUCACGUCUAGGAAUUUCACUUAUUUGCCCUAAAAUAGAGUAAGUAACAAAGAGCUACCUAGAUGCUAUCUUUUCUGACAAAUGUGAUAUCCUGAUACAAAUGCGAAUAUUGUUUUGUAGUGUAUAGUAUUAGUCGUGCAACAACCGUGGCCGCGAGCGGGCGCGUCCAGGGCUGAGCAUAUACUAGAUUCACUCCAGUCUAAAAGUUUGUUUUAUUUGCUAUCCAGUCAGUACAAGUGGCGACGAGGAUAAAACUAUUUAUCCCAUAUGGUGGUGGUGUCAGCUUUCCUCUUUUGUCUUCUCCACUUCGCUCUAUCUACGACAUCGGUCUCGGAUACCUGGCACUCCUUCAUGUCUUUCGACACCUCAUCUUACACGUGGUCUUAGGGCGGCUUCGUGAUCUUCGACCGAAUCACCGACAAAGAAAAAACCGAUUGAAUGGAAAUUACAAUAAUUACCCGCAUAAUUAUUACAAUUCCGUAUUUUUCAAUAAGUAUGUGUAUUUAUAAUUAGUAAUAAAUUCAGAAAGUAAUAACAAUUCAGUUUACGAGGUAAAAAACUAUGUGUAUUAAGGUUAAAUACUUAUUAUUUUGCUACAUCAUUAACAAAA
Long non-coding RNA from Helicoverpa zea (corn earworm), 729 nucleotides. RefSeq lists it as uncharacterized. Lineage: Eukaryota; Metazoa; Arthropoda; Insecta; Lepidoptera; Noctuidae. The record is from RefSeq and is a predicted model, not a curated record. The transcript has 2 exons.